CUAGUAUAUUAGUUAGCUUGUGUUCUGUUAUCAACCACCCUCAAAUUUUUUGACUUAAAAGGAACAAUUUCAUUUGCUCACAGUUCUGUGGAUCUACUGGCAGAUUUUCUUGUUUGUGCUGCUUGACUGAUCUGUGUGGUCAGGAAGUCUAGAUAAUGCAGGAUGGUUGGUCUAGGUGGACUUAUCUGUAACUGUUCAUUUCUUGCUCUGAGUAGUUUCUCACCUUCCAGUAAUCUAGCCCAGGUCUCUUCAGAUGAUGUCUCAGUAUUCUAAGAAGUAGCAAGAGGGGAAGGUCCCAAGGUACACAUACUUUUUUUUGGUACCGGGGAUUGAACUCAGGGGCACUUGAUCACUGAGCCAUAUCCCCAGCCCUAUUUUGUGUUUUAUUUAGAGACAGGGUCUCACUGAGUUGCUUAGCACCUUGCUUUUUGCUGAGGCUGGCUUUGAACUCAGGAUCCUCCUGCCUCAACCUCCAAGCAUGCACCACUAUGCUUGGCAGUACACAUACUUUUUGAAUCUCUGACUGCAUCGGAUUCACUCUUGUUCUGAUUUCCAAAUCAUGUCACAUGAUCAAAGCCAGUGUCAAAGUGAGAGAUCUACCCAAGGGCAUGAAUUCAAGGAGGGGCUGUGGAGAAAGGGCCUGUUACUGCUGCAAUCUGUUUCAACACUGCAUGUCUUCUGCUGUGAUGCUGUGUGAAGCACACAGACCAACCUACGAUGUUCUCUUGUCAAAUCAAGGAAAAUGACACCACAAGGGAGCAAAUAGACUAGUAGAUGUUAGUGCAGCUCACUGAAAUGUUCACAUCUGUAAUUUCCAUGCACAUGGUAAGAUAUACUUCCUGGAUUUCUUUUUAUGAUCAGUUCUGGCCAAUGAGAUAAAGAAUAAUUGACUACCAGUCUGAGCAUUUAAUUGCCUAAAAGAGACUCUUUAGAGCUCUUUUCUUCUGCUACUAAGAUAACCAGCAAUGUUUUGCACUGUAAUUACUUCAUUAGUCUGGUUCUGGGUGUGAGAUUGAUGAUUAAAUGGUAGCAGAACUCCCCCUCAAUCUAAGAUGGAUAUAUAGGAGUGAGAAAUAGUUUCAUUGUUUUAAGCCAAUGAGAUGCUGGAGUUUCUGGGUCCCACAGUGUAACCCAGCUUAUCCUAUGAUAUACAAGCUAAUCUAGACUGUAGCUUAUCCUAUAGGACAAUCCAUCUGGUUUCUUCCAACAAGUUGCUGGCAUGAAAAAUGUUCAUUGAGGAAGGGGCUCCACUCUGGCUUCCUAAGACCUAAGAGCUCCCUAUAACCACAUGCUAGACAUGGGUC
Molecule: long non-coding RNA, 1304 nt
Filed under: Marmota monax (woodchuck)
Lineage: Eukaryota; Metazoa; Chordata; Mammalia; Rodentia; Sciuridae
Source: RNAcentral